AUGUGUGCCUGUGGCCAGCAUGACACAAUUCUGGAUACCUUCACGGAUGCUGUGGGUACUCAGCACUUCUGGAAAAGCAGGAGCACAGGAAAUGCCAAGCCAGAUACCCGAGGCACUACCCAGGAGAGAUGUCUGUUAAGAUCCCUAAGAGAGGGAAAAGUGUUAUUUAGAGCUUACACUGUCUUGGAGGCUACGAAACGCACAUGAAGAGAAACCCUGCCUACGAGGAGGCAUCCAUCUGUGCCCCGUGGAGAGUAUCUGUGAAGCUACACAGGGAAAAGUCAUUUUGAAGAUCAACGGUAAGGCUACCGAGUGCUUGGGGAUUACUGAGCAAGAGAGGGAUGGUGCAGGACCUGUUGCCCCUUCCCCUUUCCCUUUCGAGAUGGAGACCACGUUACUGAGAAGGGCUGAUUUCCAGGGCUUCUCCUGCUGGCGACCAAACUGAGUCAGAAGCUUUUGGAGUCCCUCUCUGCCUCGCCAGCAACCGCUGUGAAGGGUUUUAUUAGUCUGGGCAGCGUAGCAGAGUUUGGCUGCAAAUAGCUGAUCCUGUUUUGGGAACUCCAACAGUCCUCCUUCUCCUGGCCGACCCCAGGUAUCUCCCCCACGCCGUUCCCUUCCUUAGCAGCCUUGACAGCUUUUCCUGACAGAGUGAGGCUGGCUCGCUUCCAGCUCUUCUCACGCAGGCUGUGGCCUGUGCUAAACCCCACUUUUUUUUCUGAACAUUUGUGUCUUGAUUUCCCAUGGAAACAAGCCUGGGAUGAUCCCUUCUUCAGCCCGUGGGUCUUUCUCCUCACUCUUAAUGACUCUUGAACUCAGUAGCUGUUUCCAGCCAGUUUUGACAGAGAGGCAGAGGUCUCAAAAGUAAUUAUGUUUUUACCAGUUUUAUAGAAACAGGCAGUUGGGUAGAUGAGAAAUGGGAGUAUGAACACUUGCAAAUUCACCCCUGGCUUAUGUCUGAUCCCUCUGGCUUAUUGGCAUCGCUGAACGUGCCAGCCCAAGGAUCACUGCCAAUAUAUUCUGUGGGAAGACAUUGCAUGCAUUUGUGGUGUUAAUGGAAAGUUGUUGUGUAAUUUGGCAAACAAAAAUAAUAUCAGAGGACACAAAUGGCAAGAAACGGAGGCUUUGUCACAUCUGACGCUCGUGGAAUUACUUAUUCUGCAUGAGUGAAAGACCACUUUGCAGCCAACAUUAGAAAAUGUGUAUCUAUUCAUCAGUUCGUCUCUAGUCUGUGGAGCUGUUAGCCAAAUUGCAGGCCAAGGGAAAGGUUUCUUAGCAGAAGUACUGUGUCAGUAACAUGAUCUAAUCAGUGCUGAAACGCAAGGCGGGCCGAAAUUGCAGUGAGGUGUAAAAGAAGGGGCCUCUGCAUAGGCUUAACAGUAGGUUUAACAACAAGGGGGAGCAACUGGUAUGUCCUGAACUGGGAAAUGUCACUGUUCCCUUGCUCCUCCGUCUGCUGUAUAUAAUUAUAAGGAUUGAUGCUCUAAUGAUGUAUUUACAGAUGGGUUGUUUAUGACACUAUACAUCAGGAGAAUGAAACGCUUCAGAUGGUCCCACUGUAAAUAUCUCCCAAGCAGCGGCAUUCUGCUGAUAUUUAUUAGGAGAUUUGAUUGUGCUCAGGAUGAGGACCAGACAUUUCUGUGAGCAAUGAGUGCUGUGAAGCAAUCUUUUUCUACAGAGACCCAAAAUUGCUUAGAGAGAGUUCCAUAAAGAAGCAGCCCCUCUAUUAUCCCCACAGUGAGGCAUGUAGGCAAAAUUGUGUUAGCAUGUAGUGAGCUAUUUAUGGUUACAAUUUGAAAGAAAAGUCCCUUAGCUUCCCUGUUUAAAUGGUGGUUAGUAGCUUGCAAGUUGUUUUUGUUGCCUACAGUUCUUGCUGAAAAGCAUAUGAAAUACAGGUAUCCUUCUGGCUUUACCCCCUUUCCCUACUUAUCUCCAAAGCUGUGAAACUUGGAAGAGAAAUGCUUUAUAACAUUAUGAAUUUGCUGACAUAAAUACUUACUAAUCAGAGUGAUAAAUUUCUGUCUGAUCCAAGCUGCAAAAUAAAAUAAAAAGGACAUAUUUGUGCCA
This is a long non-coding RNA of Calidris pygmaea (Spoon-billed sandpiper), 2064 nucleotides long. The record is from Ensembl. NCBI's taxonomy places the organism in Eukaryota, Metazoa, Chordata, Aves, Charadriiformes, Scolopacidae.